RNAcentral lists this ribosomal RNA (459 nucleotides) under uncultured bacterium. Its description in RNAcentral is "partial 16S ribosomal RNA". It matches the Rfam family "Bacterial small subunit ribosomal RNA", at positions 338 to 795 of the family's 1533-position model. The record is from RNAcentral.
CCUACGUGUGGCAGCAGUGAGGAAUAUUGGUCAAUGGGCGGGAGCCUGAACCAGCCAAGUCGCGUGAGGGACGACGGUCCUACGGGUUGUAAACCUCUUUUGUCGGGGAACAAAGCCGCCCACGGGUGGGCCGUUGAGUGUACCCGAAGAAAAAGCAUCGGCUAACUCCGUGCCAGCAGCCGCGGUAAUACGGAGGAUGCGAGCGUUAUCCGGAUUUAUUGGGUUUAAAGGGUGCGUAGGCGGACGGGCAAGUCAGCGGUCAAAGUGCGGGGCUCAACGCAGUACUGCCGUUGAAACGGGCAGCCUUGAGUGGGCGAGAAGUAGGCGGAAUGCGUGGUGUAGCGGUGAAAUGCAUAGAUAUCACGCAGAACUCCGAUUGCGAAGGCAGCAUACCGGCGCGCGACUGACGCUGAGGCACGAAAGCGUGGGUAUCGAACAGGAUUAGAUACCCUUGUAGUC